Small nucleolar RNA from Tachyglossus aculeatus (Australian echidna), 138 nucleotides. The record is from RefSeq and is a predicted model, not a curated record. NCBI's taxonomy places the organism in Eukaryota, Metazoa, Chordata, Mammalia, Monotremata, Tachyglossidae.
UGCCUCUCAGGAUUGUACCUGGAGUGUUUCCAGAACUCUACCAGUCUCAGUUAUUGGAGGGAGAGUCAUGCAGAGGCAUACCCAUUCCAUUCCUAGCUUGGGCAGGGACUAGAAAGUGGAAAGCAAUCUGCUACAAAU